Molecule: long non-coding RNA, 6640 nt
Filed under: Daucus carota (carrot)
Lineage: Eukaryota; Viridiplantae; Streptophyta; Magnoliopsida; Apiales; Apiaceae
Description: long non-coding RNA (DCAR_LNC006771)
Source: RNAcentral
UUUGUGUCAAAAGACAACUGCUUCAUACCAGUACUGAAUACAAAGAUUAAUGGUAAAACCUACUGCUGAAAACUGCUAGCUAGAAAACAGGAGACAAUAACUCCUACUCAAGCACGAUGCAAACAAAUAACUACUACGAAAAAAAACUAACUCUACCACCCACUAAACUUAUUUAAUCAGCUCCUAUAAAAUCUCUACGGCUAACAUGUUUGAAAUUAUUACCAACAGUCUCCCCCCAUAAUUUCAAACAUAUAUCAGCCCAGAACUUUGAUACCCAGCAAGUUCCUCAUUCUCUCAAACUUCACAGCAAACAAAGCUUUAGUUAACAGAUCCGCCUUCUGAUUCUCACUGCUAAUAUGCUUGACAACGACUUCCCCACGUUCAAUACACUCCCGAAUGAAAUGGUACCUAAAUCAAUAUGUUUGCUCCUCCCGUGAAAAACAGAAUUUUUCGCCAAGUCUAUAGCAGACUUAUUAUCGAUAUAGAUUAGAACAGGAGGCACUUGUUCACACGCAGCAGCUGUGGCCGCCAUAAACUCCGCUUCACAGGAUGAUAACGCAACACACCGCUGUUUGUGGGAGACCCAAGUGACUAGACAUUCGUUUAGAUAAAACACCAUUCCCCCAGUGGAUUUUCUGUCUUCAAUAUGUCUUGCAAGAUCACUAUCAGAGUAACCUGUCAAAAGGUUAUUGCCAGCAUCCUUUGUAUAGAUUAAACCAUACUCCAACGUGCCUUUUAUAUACCGUAAAAUUCUCUUAGCUGCAUUCAAGUGUAUAGUGGUUGGUCUUUCCAUGUAUCGACUCACAAUGCCUACUGAAAAAGCUAUAUCUGGUCUGGUAUGUACCAGGUACCUCAGUCCUCCCACUAUACUCUUAAACUCUGUUGCAUCUACAGCUCUUCCACCUUCAUCUUUUGUUAAUCUUUCUUUUGGAUCCAUUGGAAAUUUACAAGGAUUGCAUUGAGACAUUCCAGCCCUUUCAAGUACUUUCUUCGCGUAGCCUGACUGUUUAAGCUCAAUAAACCCAGCACCCUGCUUGACUUCUAUUCCCAAAUAAUAACUUAACUUCCCCAUAUCAGUCAUUUCAAAUAUAUUGCUCAUCUGCUCCUUGAAGCUUCGAAUAAAAGACACAUCAGUACCCGUGAUUAGUAAAUCAUCCACGUAUACACCAACUAUUAUUGAUUCUCUUCCCUCCCGUUUUACAUAAACGGCAUGUUCAUAGGGACAUCUCACGAACCCAAGACUUUCAAGACACUUGUUGAGUUUCGAAUACCAAGCUCGAGGAGCUUGUUUGAGACCAUACAAGGCUUUGAGAAGCUUAUACACUCGCUUUUCUUGCCCCUUUUUCACAAACCCCUCCGGUUGAGUCACAUAUACUGUUGGAAACGUGAAUGGGCUUACCUCAAAUUCUUUAUCUCAAAACACAGUGUGUGUGUAUGGUGUGUACUGUAUUAGGUAAUCUUGAUAUUAAAACAAACAAACAAAGCACGCUUAUAUAUAUAUUGUUAAGACAUCUACAGCUUUUCCUUACAUAGGCUACAGCCUUUUCUCUUUUCACUCACAGAUAUAGAGCUUCAGCUCUCUGUAUUCUCUCUACUGAUUUUCUCACUCCAUAUUUUCACUCGGUGUGUAUUACAAUCUUGCUGGGUGUCCUAUUUAUAGGCUAUAUUGUACGUGUCGUUGCUUAUCUCAAUUUGCUAGCUGCUGCUCUUAAUACAUACGCGUAUAGCCACCUUAAUUUUAGGCUUUGAACAAAGACCAGAGAGAGCUGCUGCAUCUCACAGUAAUUUAUUACACACGCUUUUACCACGUACCUCGCAUGCUGAUAGCCUACCAUAUAUCCUGGAUGCAACAGAUGACCAGUUGCCAUUCUUGACUUCCACAAGCUGCUUCAAUUACUUCUCCUUCAUUCUUAUAUAUCUGUAUAUAUAUAUUAUGGUUUAAUUUUCCCAUGCACGUACAUCUGUUGUUUUAAUCCUGCUAGCUGUAUUUUACUAGAUUGCUGCUUGCUUCCAUUUAUAUCCCAGAAGACCUGGAAUCCAUUCUGCUGCAUUUACCUUUGCUGCAUGCUUAUUUCAAACCCAUUUGUUAUAAUUAAUAUAUUGCUAGCUGGAGAGCUUGAAAUUCUAACACUCCCCCUCAAACUCGACUUUGCAUUCCGAGCUUUUCUUUCAUUUUCUGAAACACUUCCGGCUUCAAUGACUUCGUAAAAAUAUCUGCUAAAUUUUCUUCCGUCCUGCAGUGUACCAACUCUACAAUUUUAUCAUUCACUUGUUCUCGAAGAAAAUGAUAUUUAAUAUUGAUGUGCUUGCUGCGACUGUGUAACACCGGAUUUUUCGCAAGUGAAAUUGCGGAUUUGUUGUCCACGAAAAUAGUAACCGGUUCUUCCUUGGCAAGAUUUAACUCGCCCAAUAUAUAGCUUAACCAAAUAGCUUGACAUGUUGUUCCUGCUGCUGCAAUAUAUUCUGCCUCACCUGUUGAGAGAGCGACUGUCUGUUGCUUCUUUGAUGACCAUGAGAAUAUCGCCGAGCCAAUAUGAAAAGCAUAUCCCGAUGUGCUUUUCCCGUCACCCAAAUCUCCACCAUAAUCACUGUCUGAGUAGCCAACUAAUUUUGAAUCUUGAGAAUUGAUGUAAAAUAAUCCAUUAUUUAGUGUACCUUUAAUAUAUCUCAAAAUUCUUUUAGCCGCCAUGAAAUGAUCUUGCUUCGGCUUCUCCAUGUACCUACUAACCAAUCCGACUGCAUACAUGAUAUCCGGACGAGUGAAAGUUAGGUACCUCAGACUUCCAACCAAACUUUUAAAUAAUGUCGGAUUUACCGACUCUCUUGUUGAAUCAAUUCUGAGCUUUAUGCUUGCUUCUGCUGGCGUGCUCACUGGCUUGCAUUCUUCCAUUCUGAAUUUCUUUAAAAUCUGCUCGGCAUAUUUUUUCUGAGACAUAAAAAUCCCAUCUUUGCUUUGCUUCACCUCGACUCCAAGAAAGUAUGACAUUUGACCAAUAUCUGUCAUCUCAAAUUCAUUAGUCAUAACUUUCUUAAAAUCAUCAAACAUACCAGGAUUGUUUCCGGUAAAUAUCAUGUCAUCCACGUAUAAGCAAACGAUCAUAAUAUCUCCCCCUGAAUUUGUUUUCGUGUAGAGUGCAUGCUCAUAUGGACUCUUCACAAAACCAUUCUUCUUAAAAUACUCAUCAACCCUUGUGUUCCAUGCUCUCGGGGCUUGCUUUAACCCGUAUAGUGCUUUCUUCAGUUUGCAGAUGAAAGGAUAUCUUCGAUAUACAAUUAUUUAUAUAUUUGUUUUGGUAUUUGUGACAAACAUUAAAUUUAAAUUCACUUAGUAAUCCUCCCAAUAGGUCAUUGAUUAAAUUGAUUAAUCAAAGGUGGAUAGUUAUUUUUGGCAAGUGUUUUAAAACUCAUUUUUACUAAAAUACAUAUGUUUUCAAAAAGAAUUUUCUUUAUGCAAUAGUCGUGCUGAGGAGUUUCGGUAUUAUCGAUUGCCUCUUUCUUCCUAUUGCAACAUCAAAAUACAUGAGCUAGGAUGAAGUAUCAUCUACAUAUGAUAUUCUUUAAAUAUCUCAUGUAACAUUAUUUUUCAAAAUAUAUUUUAGGUAAUUUAUUCCUUAUUCAAAUAUUUAUUAUCUUUCGGAAUAAAUUAUUUUAGAUCCUUCAUUUUUCAAAAGUCUUAUUUUUCUCAAGAAUGAUUUAUAUUCUCCAUAUUAAUAUUUAUCUCAAAAAUAUUAAUUUCAAAUUUUAUCUCAUUUUGGGAUAUUUUUCUCGGUCUCUCAAAUUCAUUGUUUUUCAAAGAAAAAUAUUUCUGAUACUUAGAAAGCUCUUUCAACUUAUCAAAAUCAUUAUUUAUCAUGAACAAUAUUUUUCUAAGUAUUUUGGCAUAAAAACUUUCGUGAAAAAGUCUAAAUGAUUUGACUAAAACACGAACUGUAUCGGUUUUUCAAAUAUCGGUAUUCGUUAAGAAAAUUGAUUUAAAUACUCUAAAAUAUUUCCCCAUAUUCAAAAGUAUUUUAUAUUUAAGGUAAUAUAUUUUAAGUAUUUAAUCAAGUCUUAACUUUGGUCAAAAACUCUCUUCAAAAUCUCAAAAGAAUUUUCAUUCGUUAUUUGGACCCGAAAAACAUUUUAUUCGUUUUAAUUCCAAAUAAAAUACUUCCACUUGUCCAAAUGACUUGAAACUUGAGAUUAGCCAGUUAUAUAUUUUUCUUAGUGCAUGGUUAAAUUUUCAUAAUUUUUCGAGGACUUUCGUUCCGGAGCGUUUUUCUAUCUGUCGUCUCGAUCUUCCACCGAACGUUUGACCAAGCUAGAGUUGACCAAAAAUUACCAAACUUGGCAGGAUACCAUUUUCCAAUAUUCUAAGAUUUAUCAUAUUUUUUCCGGAAUUUAUUGAGCACGUUCCGAAAAUCGUAAUAUUUCAUGUAACGGAAUUUAACCGUUUUCUCGAUAUGCGUGCCAAUCAUCCACAAGCCUUAUGCAUUGAAAUGUGUGCCAAUAAAUGCAGGUCAACUAGACCAUUUAAUGCAUUGGAAAGCAUGGGGGACAAGUAUGACAAGCAUGAGCACAAGUGGGGACCAUGUAACUUUAAUUUGAAUUUAUUCCUUUUUAAUUCAAAUACUUCCACCCAUCUUUGCCUAUAAAUACAAGGCUCCCCCAAUUCAUUCUUCACAAGCUAGCAAGCAACAAAGUGCUGAGAUUUUGCAAGUAGAAGCUCUCUCCAAAUUUAUACAAACACAUUUCUCAUCUACUUCAUCUUUAAAACCUCCGUUCCGAUCGGUAUAUUCGUAUAUUCUCGAGGUUUUAAACACCGAGGCUUUGCUCCACCCAACCAAGCCCCGCACCACUUUGCUUGUUCACAAACCACUCUUUUCGACCUCCCGAAGGGCUGUCCGAAGUUCGUCCAUAAGCCAAAUUCCUACCGAACCUCCGACGAAUUUUUCCGGCGAACUUUUUGCGAAAAUCGUGUAAGUGGUUUCUUUAGCUUCGUCUUAUCCGAGUCUUAACCGACCAAAUUUAAAAGAGCUAUCAAGCCAAAUUUCUCUUCAUCUCAAAGCUCUCUUUUUCUUUAACAAUACAAAAGCACAAGAGUUGGUCGCUCGUAUUAUUUAUAAUAUACCUACGUGUGCGUGUGUGUGUUAUACCCUCUCUUGUUGACGUGAAGAUUCUCAUACGUGCUGAGCUUUCGUGAGAAUAUUUGCUUAAACGAGUUUAGUGGUGGUCCUCACCUUAGUGAGUUGAUUNNNNNNNNNNNNNNNNNNNNNNNNNNNNNNNNNNNNNNNNNNNNNNNNNNNNNNNNNNNNNNNNNNNNNNNNNNNNNNNNNNNNNNNNNNNNNNNNNNNNNNNNNNNNNNNNNNNNNNNNNNNNNNNNNNNNNNNNNNNNNNNNNNNNNNNNNNNNNNNNAGUCAAGAACUCACUCUCUUGAUAUUUAUAUUUAAAGAGGGGUUAUCUUGAAACGAAGUUGUAAAAUAAAACACUUCGUAAUAUUCACUUCGAAGGUUAUCAUACCCGAAGUAUUUCAUAUACUUAGUCAAAGACAAGUAUAUUCGUCCAUAUAGCCAAAAGAGCUUAAAAGGACGUUAUUUUAUCUACAAACUCCAAGACACUCGAAUAUCAUUUAUUUGAAGGAUUUUGUACUAUAAACGUAUUCUUCGAUUAUAAAGACAAAGCUAUCAAAAAAGAAUACUCUCAAGGUCUUAAGCUUUAUAAAAGCUUAAAGAACACUUGAUCUUUAAUAUUCUAAGACCAAGAAUAUUAUUGAAACACUCGGACUAGUGAAUCUUGUCCAAAACUCUUUUUAUAACCAAGGUUGUCUUUUGUAGAUAUUGUUUUCUAGAUUUUGCAGUGAGGUGAAGUGAAGUGAGGUGAUCUUCGUUCUAAGACCCAAGUCCUAGACGAGCUAACGGGGAGUUAGUCGUCUUCGCACCGUGAGGAAGAGGAAAGACCCAAGACCUAAGACCUAAGAUCCAAGACCCGCUUAAGGCUAGAAGAACAAAGACUACACACUUGAAAGAUACAACGAUUUUGAGGAGGUGACGGAGAGUUACGCUCCAAGACAAGUCUUGUAAUUUACAUUUAUAGUGAGGAGGUAACGGGAAGUUAUGCACCAAGAUAUAUAUUUGUAAAGGCUUCUCCGCCUACUGUAAAGGAGUUUCUUUAUAGUAGAGAAAAUCUCGAGUCCGGGGAGGAGCUCGGGGACUGGAGUUGGGGUGAGUGGACUCCAAGGGUUGAGUUAGCCACCGCGAACCAGGAUAAAAUCGCUCGUGUGGUGAUUAGUCCAUAUUUUUGCAUAUUUAAGUGCCUAUUUUUUGUUUAUUUUCGUAGUAUUAUUCGCUUAUUUAUUUUAUUUCAGGAAAUUGUAGAUAAAUAAAGAAAGAAGAGAAAAUGCAAGAAAAAGAAGAAACGGAAAAGAAAAGAAGAAAAAGAAAAAGGGUUGGCAAGUAAAGGACACAUGGAUGGCCACAAUUCUCCCAACACUCAAGGCACAUGGAUGGUCAAGAUUGAGCCACCCUACCCCUAAACCCUAAUUCUUUAGUUAUAAAUACCCCCUUAUCUUUGCUUGUAAAAGAACCUAGCUACCUACCCACCUUUUCUACCUAGUCAUUUCCAUAGUUAGUAUCUUAGAUAGAUUUACAUUUUGCUAGCCCCA